GGAGAGGUGGCCGAGUGGUUGAAGGUGCCUGUCUUGAAAACAGGCGUGCCGCUUGCGCGGUACCGUGGGUUCGAAUCCCACCCUCUCCGCCA
Molecule: transfer RNA, 92 nt
Filed under: Candidatus Saccharimonadota bacterium
Lineage: Bacteria; Candidatus Saccharimonadota
Description: tRNA-Ser
Rfam family: tRNA
About the family: Transfer RNA (tRNA) molecules are approximately 80 nucleotides in length. Their secondary structure includes four short double-helical elements and three loops (D, anti-codon, and T loops).
Source: RNAcentral